UAUGUGAUCGUCUCUCGCAUAUCAAUAAGCGGAGGAAAAGAAACUAACAAGGAUUCCCCUAGUAACGGCGAGUGAAGCGGGAAGAGCUCAAAUUUGAAAUCUUAAAGGGUUUCCCUUUACGAAUUGUAGUUUAAAGAAGUGUUUUCUGUUGAGGUUUUGGUAAAAGUUCUUUGGAAUAGGACAUCAUAGAGGGUGAGAAUCCCGUAUUUGACCUUUACUUUCAACUUUGUGAUACACUUUCAAAGAGUCGGAUUGUUUGGGAAUGCAGUCCAAAAUGGGUGGUAAAUUUCAUCUAAAGCUAAAUAUUGGCGAGAGACCGAUAGUGAACAAGUACCGUGAGGGAAAGAUGAAAAGAACUUUGAAAAGAGAGUUAAACAGUACGUGAAAUUGUCAAAAGGGAAGCGUUUGACACCAGUGUUGUUUUUCUGAAAAUCAAUUAAAGAACUGUUUAUGCUAAGCUGUUUAGACUUUAUCAGCUAUCUGUUUAGUUUUGAGCUUUUCUUUAAUGCACUUUUCAGUUAACAAGUCAACAUCAAUUUCUUUUGCUGUAAAAAAGCUUGAGGAAGGUGGCUUGAGAUUCGUCUUAAGUGUUUAUAGCCUCUUGCCUAUGCAGUCGGAGAGAUUGAGGUCUGCAGCGUAGAUCCUUCGGGGCUAAAUGCAUUUGUGCUAAGUUAUAGCAUUUUAUAGACAACUUGUUGACUAUGAUUUGUCUUGUAGCUUACUCGCUUAUGUUAUUUUACCUACGCUUAGGAUGUUGAGCGCAUGUCUCUCUCU
RNAcentral lists this ribosomal RNA (774 nucleotides) under uncultured Neocallimastigales. RNAcentral's name for it is "partial large subunit ribosomal RNA". It matches the Rfam family "Eukaryotic large subunit ribosomal RNA", at positions 24 to 616 of the family's 3401-position model. The record is from RNAcentral. Lineage: Eukaryota; Fungi; Neocallimastigomycota; Neocallimastigomycetes; Neocallimastigales.